CCACAAGGCCGCUGAAGGCCAGUUAGAACGUGGCACUCUAGAAGGACAAGAACCCUCCAGAAGUAGAUGGAUGUGGCUCCAUCCUAGGGCAGAGCUGGAGAAUGACUGCAGCCUCACUGAGGACAAUGUCUCCUGGGGCCUGUGGGCACACUGAGGCCCCAAGAGGAUAAGGAGUUUGCCCUGGGCUCCUUCCUCUGCACCUGCUGCCUCCCCAAGAAGAAGCCGUGAAUUCAUCUCCACCCAAGGAGACCAUGCACAUCCUUGGGCCCAAGUGUGCUGCCCUCUGCCUAUUGCAGGAUGAGACAAGAAAGGACAAUCUCGGAAGAUGCACUUCCUGCCACGGCGCAGGGUCAAGCUUGCCUAGAGAGUUGGUGAUGAGACAAAUCACCAAUGAAGAUCCACAGAUAAACAGCCGUCACAAUCAGGAGGAGCAAUGACGGCAACAGCACGCCGCAUAGUAAGGGAAGGAGCAUGGGGAAGCACAUUCCUCAUGUCACCAGCUCCAACCAGCGCAGCCUGGAGAAGUAACCGGGCCUCUGCAGAGGGGUUCCCCACACCCCCUCCAGCCUCCCAGUGCACCUCUCCUGGGCCAGCCCUGGGUUGGCACGUAAAAUGCAGCCAAGUGGCCAGGGAGUCAGGGAUGAAUGGCAGGAAAGGCUGAAGCCAGGGCGGCCCCUCGCCUACCCGCCCAUCCCGGUGAUUCAAAGCUAGGCCGAGGCCCGACAAAGCCCUUGAAAAUGCCAGUCAGGGAACAAUCUCUUUCCCAUACUCCCUGCCUUUGACCUUGGGCACACAGCCCCAACCUGGAUGGGCUGAUCUUUUUCCCAGCUCUGCCCAUCCCAUCCCCAGUCCCUUCUCACAUGGCACACAUAGCACAAACAGUGUACACAUCAUACACCACACACACACUCCACGGUGACAACGAGGCUUUUCACUCUAAUCACACAAUUACAGGACUGCCAAUUUGUGGGGGCCAAAUGAUAGUCUACACGGCAGAUCACAUCUUCAGGUCCUAGAUAGCCAGAAUCAACACACUUAUGAGCAUUUAAAAUGGUAGAAGCACAAAGAAAGUCUGUGCCGAAGUGGACAGGGCCCUAGGGAUCUUCCGUGGUCCCCAGUCUUCAUUCAUUUAGGUUGUUUAUAUUUUUAUUUAACUCCACUCCCUGGUUUGAUGUGCUUUUCUAUAUUUUUUUUUCCCAAAUGUAGGUGAAAACAACACGCAAUCCUUGUUAAAAUGAAAACUGGCAGUCCACGUGGCACCAGCUCAUGAGCUGCCAGAGUGGUGCACACCACACUUUGGGAAAUUCUAUCUUGGCCCAACCUUGCCAUUGUAGGGGUAGGGAAACUGAGGCCCAGACAGGGGAAGAGACCCAUCCAACAUCCACAACAAGGCAGAGGCAGGGCCACCACCUGAACCCAGAGGCCAGCCCCCAGCCUUGCUCGUCUGGGAGGGAAGACCCAGGACUCGGGCCACCCAGGCCCCCAGGGUGCCCCAAUUUGCCACAGAAUCUGAGUGCAGCCUUUUCCCCAAGGAGUGCUUGUCCCGGUAACCCUCGACCCCUCGGGUUCGGAUGGCCCCCAUACUGUCUCCCUGAAGCAUUGGGCAGGCUGUCCCCCACUGGGGCUUGGUUCCCUCACCUUCCAGGACUACAGUGAAGACGCCAAGUCUCUGAAAAGAUGCAGACAGAUGCGGGAGAAGAAACUGCGAGCAGCCCCUUUCUCGACGCCUCAGCCUUCCUCUCUGGGAAACCCUCUACCCACAUCUGCCCAGCAUCCUCAGGGAAGCCUUCCUGGCCGCAAGUGGUCUGAGCCAACACCACUAUCACCGCCCACUGCGCCACUGCUAUCACCAACUUCCUGAUGAGGAAUGUCCACGAGCACAGACUCGCUGCUCUCCAUUCGUGACAGCUCAGAGGCCUUUUUAGAAGGGGGGCUUCAUGUGAGUUUUGGCUGCGUUCUGCAAGGAAGGUUUCUAGGAGCAGCUGACCAGAUCUUGGAGGCUCGUCCUUCCUCCCGCCCGAACCCUUCCCGGGCGGCAGCCUGCUGAGGUCUGCUGAAGGCUGCGUGCACCUGCCCUUUGACCCAGCAGUACCACCUCUACAAUUCACCCAACAGGGACCAGCCCACGGGCUCAAAGGUGGAUGCACAAGGAUAUUUUCAUCGCAGGAUUGUUUGUGGCAGCAAAAGGCUAGAAAAAAUGUCACUGUCCAUCAGUAGGGACUGGGUCACGAAGUGCAGAGCAUCUGCUCCAAGGGAUGGUACGUAGCAGUAAAAUCCAGGCUAAGGAAUGAUCUGCAAAGCAUACUUCACAACAGAAUGGUGUGCGGGAUAUGCUUCCAUUGUGUAAAGG
RNAcentral lists this long non-coding RNA (2350 nucleotides) under Equus asinus (donkey). Its description in RNAcentral is "lncRNA (ENSEASG00005027765.1)". Lineage: Eukaryota; Metazoa; Chordata; Mammalia; Perissodactyla; Equidae. The record is from RNAcentral.